Molecule: unclassified non-coding RNA, 5140 nt
Filed under: Hevea brasiliensis (rubber tree)
Lineage: Eukaryota; Viridiplantae; Streptophyta; Magnoliopsida; Malpighiales; Euphorbiaceae
Source: RNAcentral
UUUAAACAUCUGAGACUCGCUAUUAGUGAUCACUGACAAUAAAUAAAUUUGCAAACAAUUCACAAGUUACAGCGCCUGAAGCAAAAAAUGCUAUCCUAUCCAACAAAACCGUGCACAUAUUGCCAAUCAUUAAUCAUUCAAAACGAUUCCCGCGUUGGUUUUCACGACAACUCAAAAUCCAUCAGUUAAGAAAAUUGAAGUGGGACAGAGUCGAAGACCAAACCAAGCCAACUCUUAACAAAGUGAUCGCAACACUAGUAAUACACUGUCAAAUACAACCAUCCACGUAAUUUCAAGGACAAUGAUUCCUAGUUCCCACACACAAAACGAAGUUUAGUACAUGGCAAAUGAACGAAGGCAUGGCACCUUGUAGGGUCUACUUAGUAUUGCCAAGGCUGUCAUACAUUAAAGAUAAACAAGCCAACAAAACAACACAGUUCUACAGUCAUCUUUCUUUGAACCUCACCCAAAUAUCAGACAAAAGACCAGUUUAUAAACAUAAAGCAGACGCAGUGUGCAGUUUCUUCUUCAUUUAACACCUUCCAUGCCACUGCCCGCUCAUAUGAGACUGGUCUCCCCAUGCUCGACAAGCAGAUUCCACCUUGAAGACAAGCAAAACCCUAGCAGAAGAAAGACAUGUAAGGCAAAGCGCACAUAGUCAUCAAGUGUAUAUAUAUUAUUUAGAUAUGUUCUAAAAUACGCAAGUUUUUGAACAGCAAGUCCGGUAUUUCCAUAGCUUUUACCAAGUAAGAAUGCUAAAAUAUCCUGGAAUGACUCAAAUCAUGCUAAUGCUUGAUUUCUUCAGCAUCAUUUCUUAAGCCUCAUAUGCAUGAUUUCUUUUAUUUACAUUUUUCCUGCUUCUGAUCAGAUUUAUGGGAGAAACUGCAAACCUGUUGCAUUAUCUGUGGAAACUCUGAGCAGAGAGUCUUCCGACCAUGGUCAUCAAAUAUCUUUUCCAAAGUUAUGUCUUGCAAGGCUACCAAAGUAGUCUCCAACAUGUCAAGCCCUGCUUGGUUUGCAAAAGUGAAGACUGGCAAAGCCUGCAUAUGCUUACAGUAUUAGAGCAAAUUUCAAAUAUUAGCUAUGGAAACCGGGAAACAAUUUAGAAGAAUCACAUAACUUGGAAUUCAAGUCUAAAUAAGGAAACUGUAAUUGCAUCUAAAUGAAAAGCACCUGAUAAUAUAAACUCAACAUGCAUUAAGAGAGAAAAUUUUUAAACUAAGGUUUGAAUAAAUCACAAAAAUUUGGAAAAGACUCUUUUCUUUUUUUUAAAUUCAUAGAAAAAAAAUCAACACUACUAGAAGAUGCAUCAAAAAAAUUCUAUUCAAUCUAUUUAUCAUAGUGUUGUACAUCAUAGCGUUGUACAGCAUCUCCUUCAGAACAUAUAUUUCAUAGGUGGGUAGAUAAGAUUUUAAAGAUUUCAAAUUUAGGUGAGGGAAUAUUGUAAGAUUCAAAAAAGGCGAGGGAAUAUGAUAGUUGCCUGCACCUUCAGAGAGCAGCACAUGAUAGCAUCUGAGUGAUGCCACAAAGUUUUGAGAAUGGUUUCGCUUCCUUCACUGCUUGAUUUGAGUAACUCCACACCCAAGUAGCACCUAUAGCUCUGGCAGAUCCAACGAGCAAGCGUCUGUGCUUCAGGAGUACCAAGUGGAGGCCGAAGACCAGCAUGUGACCCCAAAUGAGAAGGAGAGAGUGCUAAUGCCACUCUCUGAACUGAUGAUAUGAUACUUCGGACAUAUUGUCGAGCCAUUGAUGCUACAUGGUCUUGCAUAUGGCUUUCAAAUGCAAAUUCAAAUGCAAUUGUCAUCACAGAUCUCAUACAUCCAGAAUUAGCAGUAUAAUCGGUAGAGGAUUUGUUUCCAGCUGGUCCAGUUUCAAGAGCAGAAGCAAGAUCCAGGGUGCGAUUUGGACUGGAGGCUUCCUUUGCAGAAUCAAGGGGAAUUAUGCGAAAACCCGAAGGCAGAAGAGGCGCAUCAUCUGCAAAGGAUGCAUCAAUGGGAGCAAAUAUAAGUUCAGCACAGGUGCCGAUAGCAUUCUCAUCCAUUCCACUACAGAGUUGCAAUAGAAACAUGUCCCUAGGCAUCAUUGGAUCUUCAGGAGAAUGGCCCACACCUUCCAAUUUAAUGACCUCCAAAAACUCUUCAUGCUCAAUAGUAUGAGCAAGAGGGAGUAUGACUUGACCUCCAAAACUUCCAACUCGAGACCCUGGUAAGCUACAAGGACCAACUUUAAUUGCAGCAGCUGAGUAAGCAUCAAUAUUGUUGUCUGCCCAUUCUGACCUGUGCUCCCGCAAGAACCUAAGAAGGAUUGCAGGAGGAACAUUCUGUAAAAGCAUCGAUGCUUUGGCACACAAAACUGCAUUGCUGACAGCUGGAAAUCCAUUAGUAAAGGAAAGAUUUAAACCCAUUAACUUCUCAGGUGAGGAAUUCACCAGGACAGUCACAUCAUCCAUGCCAUCAUUUCCCAUCAUUGACCAUCCCUCAUCAGUAAAACCAUUGAGUGCCUCAUUAAAACCCCUGCUUAACCUCUGACUCAAUGAUCGUAGUGCUGCUGGUCGUCUGCCCCAGUUGGUUACAUUAGACUGAGAAACCUCCUGAGCAAUCUGCCUUAGCUGGCGCAGAGCAGCCAUUGUUGUUUUUUGAGCAAGCACUGUUGAUGAUUCAUACAGGGGCCGCAGCACUUCAGGCACGCUCCAGGGCUCUAAAUCCAUAUGAUCAACUAUGUGUAUGAUUGAGCCACCCCCUUCACAAGGUCGUAUCAGGUAACCACUCGGCAGCAUUUCAGCUCUCACAAAAUGCUGUACAGGUGGCAUGCUUGGGCCAUUUUGUGUAUUUUUAAGUGACCUUUCACAGAUCACAAGGCUGCCAUCUUCUAAAACAGAAGUAUAGCGCAGCAACCAGAAGUCACGAGCAGGCGCCAAUGUUGUUGGUGCAUAGAGCUGCAUGUACAACAGCUCAAUGGUUCCACCAUUGGCAGUGGGCAGCACAUUCAGCACAUCCACAGCUCGGCAAUCACGGAACCAUGAUGGCCGAUCCUUGAGGAUUUCUGCAACCCUUGUAGGCUCUAAGCCCACCAGGCCACAGGCUCGUGCUGCCACGCCAGUGCAACCAUGAGAAAUAGCAAUGAUUCCAAUGGAAUCCGGACCAGGCUUCAUUCCAGGCAUUUGGACCCACUCCACAGCAGUUCCAGUAGCCUUUGAAAGAAACUCUGUUAAAGUCUCUUCUGCAAUGGACAAAAGCCCUGCAGGACUUGCAUCCCUUGGCGGAUGCUGAGGUGUCAAGUGGUGUUGACCGCUUGUCACCACUGAUUCACAACUUGUAUCUUUGGUUGCAAGCGUUGUGUUCUGAGUAUGUUGGCGAAAGUAACCAUUCUCAUACACCAGCUGCGACACCUGCUUCUGCAACCUAUCAUUUUCCUCCAUAAGAAGCUUGUUCAUUGCAGUCAGCUUCCUAUUCACCGCUUGAAGGCGGGAUGCCUCUUUCCUCUGCUUCUCUCUGCAUCUUCUAUUUUGGAACCAAACUUUGAUUUGUUUGGGUUCAAUGUUAGAGAGAAUCGGGCAUUCCCUAAUGAACUGUUGCCGACGAAUGGAGCUGGGUUUGGGGCAGUCGUGAUAGAGCCUUUCCAGGGCUUCGACCUGCUCAGGCGUGUAGCGGACAUAUUUGCCAUUGUCUAAGUUCGCUGGUUGCUUACCAUCCUUGCAGGACAUUGCCAUCUUCAAAUUAAAAAUCACCACAAUUCUUCACAGAUACCCACAAAAAAAAAAUCAACCCCAAAACCCAAGGUGGGGUUCUCUUUCCUUAGUGAAAAGCUCAAGCAGCUCCACCAACAACCCGAACAAACCCAAGUAGCUCUUUCUUCCCUCAAACUUAUUUUCAGCACCUCGUAGAGCUGGUUAGCACCAAAAAGUAGGCGCAAAUGAGAUUCUAGGGGUACUCUUAGCCGAAAAUACCAAAUAACCACGCAUAACCAAACCAGACCCAAUUAGCUUCCCUCCCUUAACUAUACUUCGAAGCAAUUGGUGAAGCUUCAAAAUCAAGAUACAUAUGAGAUGGCAAUUGAUAAAUAGCCCCAAAUCAACAAUAUCUAAAGAAGUUGAAAACCUAGAACAAACCCGAAUAGCUUUGCUUAAUCACAGAUUAUAUCACUUUCCAGAGCUUAAGAAAAAUAUAAAAAAAGGGACACGAGUUGGACUUCACCCAGAGCUUACAACCACAAAUUACAGUGCCCACAAAAUUUGAAGCAAAUCCUGAUGUUUUGUCCUCCUUAAUCACAAUAUCACGAACCUUUAGCAAGCACUAAAAAUGGGCACCACUGUAAAUCUUCAACUUUUGUAUUUCUUUAAUAGUUGAUUGUGAAGCGCCAGGAUAGAGAUAAAGCCAGAAGAGACAGUGAUAUCCAGAUAGGAGACAUCGUUAUCCUCGUUUUGUCUAUUACUAGACAACUCCCAAACACAAGAAAAGCAUAAACCUUUCGAGAUCAGAGCUCAACACCAAACGAUCUAUUUCACCAAAACACUGAAAAAUGCUUCACGAAACCACCAAAAACAGUAACAGAAACAACACCCAGAAACGUUUCUCCCGAUUCAAACCAAGUCACCACCGAUUGGAGUUGGACUCGGCGGAUAUGAAACAAGAAGAUGAAAUCAGAUUCUUUAACAAAAGAGAUCUCCCGUCACGGCCGGAUAACCAGCCAAAACGGCACCGUAUUAGCGAUCCAAGCUCCAAAAACAAUCGUUCCCAGGUGCUGAAACAUUUUCUAGGGGCUCGUAUCACAUCAUAUCAACACACCCAAAACAAAAAAGCAAAACAAAAGGCAGAAAAUGAAAAGGAAGCGUUUCCGGUUUUGAGAAAAGUUGAGGGCUUUUGCAACAUGUGAAGGAUUUGGAAGGGGGAAAAAUGAAAAAGUAGAGUGGGUAUCGAAAAUUUUAAUAGAGAGUAAAUAAAGAGAAAGAACAGCCUCAGUGGUUGAAGGCGGAGGAUAGGAAAAAAGCAAAUGGAAGUAAAGUACUUUGGUUGAGCUUUUGUUGCUUUGUUUUCAUUGUUUGUUCUUUUGUAUUUUGAGGUUUUUGCUCUCUUGUGUGUGUUUUCGUGUGGGUUUUUUCAUUGGCUCGUCACUUUCGUCUUCAGACAGAGAGAGGGAGAAU